GAAAUGUGAUAAGUAAUGUGAAUUGCAGAAUUCAGUGAAUCAUCGAAUCUUUGAACGCACCUUGCGCUCCCUGGUAUUCCGGGGAGCAUGUCUGUUUGAGUGUCAUGAACUCUUCAACCCACCGGUUUCUUGUAAACUGGCUGGUGUUUGGUUUCUGAGUGUUGCUCGUCCUUGUGACUGAGCUCAUUCGUAAUAUAUGAGCAUCUCUAAUUCGAAUUCGGAUUGACUCAGUGUAAUAGACUAUUCGCUGAGGACACACCUAGUGUGGCCGAAUAAGAUAAUUGUAGAAGCUUCUAACCCUUCUAGUCAUUUUAAGAUUAGACCUCAGAUCAGAUAGGACUACCCGCUGAACUUAA
RNAcentral lists this unclassified non-coding RNA (356 nucleotides) under uncultured Basidiomycota. Its description in RNAcentral is "sequence contains ITS1". The stretch from base 1 to 105 matches the Rfam family "5.8S ribosomal RNA", at positions 50 to 154 of the family's 154-position model. RNAcentral also lists the same sequence under 1 other name. Lineage: Eukaryota; Fungi; Basidiomycota. The record is from RNAcentral.